UAUUGUCAUGUAUCAGCUGCUGAAGAGAGACAGGAGGACGCAGGAAGACAAAGAAGCACUAGGACAAGACUACACUGGUUCUUCCUGGGAAAGGCGUGGUCAUCCUAGAGGUAAAGGUGAAGCAGAGUCAGGAGGAGGACCAGGAAGGGAUGAGACAGCCCAAGGCAACAGGUUCCGGGACAGCUGCCGCCUGUUUCCUGAGGUCUUUGCAGCAGAGCUUGCCCAGCGGUACAAGAACAUGGGCGCAGACCCCUCACCUCUGCCCACGUGUCCCUUCUGUGAUCUGGCUGAUGGUGCCUCUUCACAGGACCACUGGAUUUCCCUGGACUCACCUCAGCCCACACCAUUCUCAUGCUCCUGCUGCCAGUACCAGCAGGAAUAUUUUAUAUUAGAGGAAAACGAUUAUUUUAGUGAUAGCAUGUAAAUAAAUAUAUUUCUAAAAGCAGUAA
Molecule: long non-coding RNA, 449 nt
Organism: Prinia subflava (tawny-flanked prinia)
Lineage: Eukaryota; Metazoa; Chordata; Aves; Passeriformes; Cisticolidae
Exons: 2
Source: RefSeq, a predicted model, not a curated record